UGUGUAGGCGGCUCGGUAAGCAUCUUGUGAAAGCCCUCGGCUCAACCGAGGAAUUGCAGGAUGGACUGCCGGACUUGAGGCGCGUAGAGGUCACUGGAACUCUGGGCGGAGCGGUGAAAUGCGUAGAUAUCCAGGGGAACGCCAAUGGCGAAGGCAGGUGACUGGGCGCGUCCUGACGCUGAGGCACGAAAGCGUGGGGAGCGAACGGGAUUAGAUACCCCGGUAGUCCACGCCCUAAACGAUGUACACUAGCUUUGGGUACUUCUGACAGUUUCCGAAGCGCAGGAAAACCGCUAAGUGUACCGCCUGGGGAGUACGGUCGCAAGAUUAAA
Molecule: ribosomal RNA, 332 nt
Filed under: uncultured bacterium
Lineage: Bacteria
Description: bacterial SSU rRNA
Rfam family: Bacterial small subunit ribosomal RNA
Source: RNAcentral